Molecule: long non-coding RNA, 414 nt
Organism: Pezoporus flaviventris
Lineage: Eukaryota; Metazoa; Chordata; Aves; Psittaciformes; Psittacidae
Exons: 3
Source: RefSeq, a predicted model, not a curated record
CCUUAGAAUGGGUGCAGGUUAGCAGACAGCGACACAGAGAUCCUGUGACAGCCUCAGGUACCACCCCAUGGGUUUCAUUGCAGGAGCUGAAUUUAAACAUAUGACCCAAACAAUACACAGGAAGAUGCUGCUUGUGACAACAGAGAUUAUUCCGUGCUGGAAGAAUGUGGCAUUGUUGACAUUAAAAAAAAAGGCAAAACAGGCCUUUGCUUUGCUUGAACAGCACAGGCUUUCUUGAUCAGCUGUCUGAGGUGCCUCAUCUGUACAAAGCAUUUAAACCUGUCUAACAUCAAAAAGUAAGGUCUUCAGUUGUUGCGGUGUUGCAUGGAACAACAGAGCAGCAGAUCCAUAGACAGCAUCUUCAAACCACUGGCAGGCCAAGCAAUCACCAACCUGGAAAAGCAGUAGCACAUG